RNAcentral lists this long non-coding RNA (463 nucleotides) under Portunus trituberculatus (swimming crab). RNAcentral's name for it is "uncharacterized LOC123510298, transcript variant X4". Lineage: Eukaryota; Metazoa; Arthropoda; Malacostraca; Decapoda; Portunidae. The record is from RNAcentral.
GCUGUCAGGCAGCAGCAGCAGCAGGUGUCAUGGAGGGGCCUUGCUGGUGGACUGGUGGUAGAAAUGUUUACGUUUUGUUCUUCAUUGGACAAACAAUGUGAUGUGGACGUGUUGUGGUGCCUUGACGUGGGCGUCGCUGCCGUGAGCAGGAUGGAAGGAGCAAGGAAGGGACGUCAGCUGCUGGCUGAGGCUGCUGGACCACUUGUCACCACUCCCUUCCCUUUACUUUGACGCUCAGUUGGUGGCCCAAAGGAGGAAGAUGGAAGCAUGGACAGUUAACCAUCGUCAACUGUCGUAUAGAAGUGUGACCUGUGUGACAUUGACCUUUUGCCGCAAGACUCCCUGGCCUGCGACUUCACUGUGACCUGAGAGGAGACGGCCACUCAACGCUGAGGUCACACGGCUACCUUCCUUAUGCAGGAAAGUCAAGCCAAGACAAGCCACGCCACAACACAACACAAGC